CGUGUAGGCGGUUGUGUAUGUCAGACGUGAAAGCUCACGGCUUAACCGUGGAAUUGCGUUUGAAACUGCAUGACUUGAGUACAGGAGAGGAGAGCGGAAUUUCCAGUGUAGCGGUGAAAUGCUCAAAUACUGGAAGGAACACCGGUGGCGAAGGCGGCUCUCUGGCCUGAUACUGACGCUGAGACGCGAAAGCGUAGGGGAGCGAACA
RNAcentral lists this ribosomal RNA (208 nucleotides) under uncultured bacterium. RNAcentral's name for it is "partial 16S ribosomal RNA". It matches the Rfam family "Bacterial small subunit ribosomal RNA", at positions 568 to 774 of the family's 1533-position model. The record is from RNAcentral.